This 77-nucleotide transfer RNA is filed under the name Anaerolinea sp. RNAcentral describes it as "tRNA-Val". It matches the Rfam family "tRNA". Rfam says of the family: Transfer RNA (tRNA) molecules are approximately 80 nucleotides in length. Their secondary structure includes four short double-helical elements and three loops (D, anti-codon, and T loops). The record is from RNAcentral. Lineage: Bacteria; Bacillati; Chloroflexota; Anaerolineae; Anaerolineales; Anaerolineaceae.
GGGCCUUUAGCUCAGUUGGCUAGAGCGUACGCCUCACACGCGUAAGGUCGUUGGUUCGAGCCCAACAAGGCCCACCA